ACGAAGGGUGCAAGCGUUAAUCGGAAUUACUGGGCGUAAAGCGUGCGCAGGCGGUUUUGUAAGACAGAUGUGAAAUCCCCGGGCUUAACCUGGGAACUGCGUUUGUGACUGCAAGACUCGAGUGCGGCAGAGGGGGGUGGAAUUCCACGUGUAGCAGUGAAAUGCGUAGAGAUGUGGAGGAACACCGAUGGCGAAGGCAAUCCCCUGGGCCUGCACUGACGCUCAUGCACGAAAGCGUGGGGAGCAAACAGG
Molecule: ribosomal RNA, 252 nt
Filed under: uncultured prokaryote
Description: partial 16S ribosomal RNA
Rfam family: Bacterial small subunit ribosomal RNA
Source: RNAcentral